Molecule: small RNA, 30 nt
Filed under: Bombyx mori (domestic silkworm)
Lineage: Eukaryota; Metazoa; Arthropoda; Insecta; Lepidoptera; Bombycidae
Description: ovarian small RNA-15597
Source: RNAcentral
GACUACGAGAUUGGCGCCUUGAGGCGGCCC